CAACAAGGGCACACACACACUGCUGGGGGGGGCUGGGUGACGCGGGGAGGGGCGGGGAGGGAACGAAGGAGGAGCAAGGCGAUGGGGGAUGGUGCAGCAUUUACAAGAGGGAUGGGAAACUAGGGAGCAAGGGACGGGUAAGCAGGGGAUGAUAGGAAUGAAGGAAAGACUAAAUAUAUGGCAAGGAGGACAUGAAAGAAAAAACUAGCAAGGCGGUGAGGGAUGGUGCGGCACUUACGAGAGGGGUGAGAAAGUAUGGAGUGAGGGAAGGGAAAACAGGGGAUGAUAGGAUGUAUGGAAAGACUAAAUAUGUGAGGAAAUGAAGGAAAAAUCUAAGUGGUGAGGGAUAGUGGAGUGUUUACAGAGGGACGGAGAGCCAGGACGGGAGUGAACGAAAGGUAGGUGACUGGUUUUGAAUGAAUUGUAUAAAAGGCUUUGCUGAGGAGACUGGAAAGGUUGGAAAAGAGGGAGGAAAUGAAGGAAAAAUCUAAGUGGUGAGGGAUAGUGGAGUGUUUACAGAGGGCCAGAGAGCCAGGACAGGAGUGAAAGAAGGGUAGGUGAGUGGUUUUGAAUGAAUUGUAAAAAGCGCAUUGCUAAGGAAAGGCACAGUACUUUUUGAGGGAGGGCGCAAAGGAAAGAACAAAGUGUGAGGGAUAGUGGAGUGUUUACAGAGGGACAGAGUGUUAGGACAGGAGCGAACGAAGGGUAGGUGAGUGGUUUUGAAUGAAUUGUAUAAAGAGCAUUGCUAAGGAAAGGUACAGUACUUUUUGAGGGAGGGCGCAAAGGAAAGAACAAAGUGUGAGGGAUAGUGGAGUGUUUACAGAGGGACAGAGGACUAGGACAGGAGUGAGAGAGGAUUGAAAAAAUAGUAGAAGAGGAUUAUGAGGAAGUUGAGAUAUAGGUGAGACACAACACGGAUAACAGUGACAUGAUAUGGGUCUGACAGUGCUGGGAAGGUUAACAUGAUAACUACAAGGGGUGAGAUAGAGGUGACAAGUGUGAUAUGAAAGACAACUAAGACAGGUUUGAUGACCCACGGUACUUUUUUUUUUAACAACGAAGGAGACGGCUCAAGGACAACAAAGAGUGUAGAAAAAAACCCUGCAACUCACCGCUCCCACUUAACCCAGUAGCAGCGAAGGGUCAAAUUUGUGGCUUCACCAUGUAGCAGCGAUGGGCCAAAUUUGUGGCUUCACCGUGUAGCUGUGACGGGCCAAAUUUGUGCCAUGAUAUAAACCCCCAAAAAUAGAUGAUACAUAAACUGAUCACAAAUGCUUUGAUAUAUAUUAUGAAAGGGUUUGUGUGAGUGAUGAUUUUUUUUUCAGUUUUCUUGCUUAAAGGGACCAUUAAGAAACAUGAUCCCCGCUGCUACCAGGUUAAACUUGGGUGACCUGAGUUUGACCUACUUCACCUCAUAUAAGAUUAGUUGACCUCGCGGUGAUGCAACAACCAACUUAGCCUUGUUACACAUACAUAGACAGAUAAAAUAGAAUAACUGAGGUAGGAAGGGAUGACGAAAUGAAGUUUUAAGUGGAAAAUAGAAGUGUGAAAGAAAAUUGAACUGUAGGUGAUGAUGAAAUAGAGGACAGUGGAAAAGACAUGAGGCCAGUUUCACAGUUCCCCAUGACGGGUUAGUAAGCUCCCAAACCAAUACAAGAGCCUUCAAAAUUUCCUUGUAUAGUGUCUGGUGUUUAUAUUUAAGUUCACAAAUUUGAAACUACACAGGAAAAGUCUUGUGUAUUUAGUGUGGCAUUGAAGACCUCACCGUUUUGGAUUGUAUGGGAUUCUAUAGUUUGGUUCGGGCUGUUACGAAGACACUGUGUUGGACUGUGAAACUGGCUCAUGAUAUAUAGAGAAGUUGACCUCCCUAAGAUGCAGGACACAACACCUAAGUUCACUGUUACCUAGGUGCUGCUGGCUAACAAAAACGGAUGUGAUGUAACUGCCUAUCUGUCUCCAUUUCACUCAGGGACUGAACCCAAGCUAUCGUAAUUGAAAACCGUAGUUGUUUACAGCUAAGGAGACAGUUCAAGGGCGUAAAGAAAAAUAUAUAAAAAAAGCUCGCUACUCACUGCUCCUGAAUAGAGGUCAAAGGAGUGUCCAAAAAGAGAGGUCAAUUUCGGGAGAUGUGUCCUGAUACCCUCUGCUAACCAAUGCACCACGGAAUACUUCCAAAAUAUGAGAAAUAAAAUGGGAAAUAGGAAAUGAAGGAGCGUUAACAGAAUUGAGAACGUUAAAAAUGUGAAUGAGUAUAAUAAGAAAAUGAAAAUAAAUAGAAAAUGGAAAAUAUAGAAAACAUAUAUCAUGAAGGAUGUGAGGAAUAUAAUUGAGAGAAAAAAAGGUUAAGGAAAUUAGUAUAAAAAAAUAAAGAUAAAGAGAAAAUGGAAACUAUAGAUGAAAGACAAUAUAUAUAAUAAACAUCGAUACAAAACAGGAACUGGAAAAGGAAAGAAACGAAGAAACAGAAGAAACAAAGAAUUAAAGAAAAAUGAAGAUAAGAAGGCAGAGAAAAAGCACAGAUAUACAAAAAAACAAGGAAAUCCAUGAACAGGAACAAGAGAGAGAAUAACACCUGAAUAUUUAAACGUCAUAUUAAGUCUCCAUCAACGACACAGCGGCUGGUUUGUCUUUCUCGGCCCGUUUUUGAAGGCGUAGGAGUGAUGAUUUUUAUAUUAUUUUUGUGACUGAGUUUGUGAUGUUGGCGUAAGGGAGGGAGGGAGGAAGGGGAAGAAAGAAGGAAUGAGGAGAGAAAGUAGAGUAAGAAAAAGGUCUGGAGAGAGAAAGGGAUGGAGGGAAAGAGGAAGGAAGGAAGGGAAGGGAGGAGAAAAA
Long non-coding RNA from Eriocheir sinensis (Chinese mitten crab), 2829 nucleotides. RefSeq lists it as uncharacterized. NCBI's taxonomy places the organism in Eukaryota, Metazoa, Arthropoda, Malacostraca, Decapoda, Varunidae. The transcript is spliced from 2 exons. The record is from RefSeq and is a predicted model, not a curated record.